CCCCAGCCCAACAGACAUUUUUCAAAAGAAGAAUACAAAUAUACAAAAAAAAAAAAAGCUUUAGCAUCCCUAGCAAUUAGGGAAAUGAAAAUCAAAACUACACUAAGAUUCCAUUUCACCCUGAUUAGAAUGGCAAUUUUCAAGAAUAAAAACAGUAAUAAAUAUUGGGGAGGGUGUGGGUAAAAAGGUAUAUUCAUCCAUUGUUGAUAGAACUGAAAAUUAGUAUAACUACUUUGGAAAGCAGCAUGGAGAUUCCUCUAAGACUAGGAAUGUAGCCAUCAUAUGACCCAGAUCUUUCAUUGCUUGUAUUUACCAGUAAGAACUAAAAUCACCAUAUAAUAGAGAUACAGGCACAACAGUGUCAAUUUAAGGAAGCAGCCCAAGUGCCCAUCAAUAGAUGAAUGGAUCAAGAAAAUAAAUAUACAUACAUAAUGGAGUUUCACUCAGAAGAAUGAAAUGAUGACAUUUCUCGUUAAAUGGGUGGAGCUGGAGAAUAUCAUGUUAAGUGAAAUAAGUCAGACAUAGAAAGUCAAGAGUCCAAUGUUCUUGCUCAUAUGUGGAAGCUAGAGCAUGAAAAGGGGGCAAAGGCAGGGAGGGGAGAAUCCCAUGAUAAAAGAAGGAACAUCAUUAGACUGAGGAAAGGGAAACUGGGUAGGGAAGAGGGAUGGGAAAAGGAAGGAAUGGUGCAAUUAAAUUGACCAAAUUUUACUAUGUAUGUAUUUGAAUAUACCACAGUGAAUUUCACCUUUAUGUACAUCUAUUAAGAAACAAUAAAUAAAUAAAUACAAGGGAAACCAGUAGGCUAGAGGAAAGAGAACCAGGAAAAGAGAGGAGGGAAAGGCAAGAGGAACAACUAAACACUGAAGUGGAACAAAUUAUAUUUCAUGCAUGUGUAAUUAUGUCACAUGAAGUCUACUAUUAUGUAUAAUAAUACUAAUGCACUAAUAAAACAUUUAUAUAAAGAGAUGAUGGUUGAUAUUCAUAUCUUGGUCUUUGCAGUAUGAUGGCAAAUGCUAGUAUUUAGCUAGUAUAAUGAAGUCAACAUUAAUUUUUAGAACUUUUUUUAUCAUAUUUGUAGAUUGUCUUGAUUCAUUUUGCUCUUGGAUUUAUAAACUCUGAAGUGUUUAUAUAUUUUAUAAAUGACUCCCAACUUUUAUUCAUAAAUUCAUGUGUUCUUUUUGUUAAUUUCAUUUUUAAAAAAUUAAUGUCUUCUAAAUUUGGUUUUUCUUUGUGCAAUAUGAACAUAUAUUUCCAUUGCUUACACAUACCCUACUAGACCUGUUUCCUGAGUUCACUAUCUUUU
RNAcentral lists this long non-coding RNA (1303 nucleotides) under Marmota monax (woodchuck). Lineage: Eukaryota; Metazoa; Chordata; Mammalia; Rodentia; Sciuridae. The record is from RNAcentral.